GUUUGCAAAGAAAUUGAAAAGAUUUCUGGAUAUCCAGUAGGGACACACAAUUUGUAUUCAGAACCAGCUUCCGAAGUGACACCAUCCUGGAAAAUAUUUGAAGGAACAUGCCCUUCCCAAAGAGAGGAGAUGAGGAGACAGCUCACAUUCCAUAAAGAUCACCUUCUUGGAGACCAGUAAAUGCCUCAUUUGCAAGAUGUGCUGUUGCAGUGGAGGAAGGAGCCCACGAGAGGGCUCAGGGAAGCAGCCCUGGACCAGCAUCCCUGGGAAGCUCCUGGGCAGGAAAAAGCAGGGCCUUGAGGGAAAGCUCAUCUCUUCAAUCAUAUUCACCUUAAAACAUCUCGUCUAGGGCAAGCCAAUAAACAAGCAGUCCAAACAACAUCAGCUUUUAUUACCACGGGUAGUAUCACGCGUGUAUUUUUAAUCUUUUGCCUGUGUAUUUCUUACAAACUUUAUUAAUCCCGCGAAUGCUGCUGCAGGGAAUAUACGAUGGCACUUAGAGCUGAUGAAGCUCCCUCUCGGUUUUAUGGUGUCGGCACAGCAGGCUCCGCUCAGCACCACAUGAGCACAUUUAUAAAAAGCUUAUUACAGCACAU
Long non-coding RNA from Vidua macroura (Pin-tailed whydah), 596 nucleotides. RefSeq lists it as uncharacterized. The record is from RefSeq and is a predicted model, not a curated record. Lineage: Eukaryota; Metazoa; Chordata; Aves; Passeriformes; Viduidae. The transcript has 3 exons.